RNAcentral lists this unclassified non-coding RNA (3101 nucleotides) under Hevea brasiliensis (rubber tree). Lineage: Eukaryota; Viridiplantae; Streptophyta; Magnoliopsida; Malpighiales; Euphorbiaceae. The record is from RNAcentral.
AUAAUUUAUUGCAAAUCUCAAUUCUUCAAGCAUGAGCUAUGCUUUGGCAAAAACAAGUUUUAAGACAUUGAAAAGUGAAAGCAUGUGGCAAUGAUGACUGCCUGCAAUCACAAGUUGUUUUUUCCCAGAAGUACCAUGCCCUUUCACCCCAAUCUCCCUUCUCUCCCUUCUCGCCAAGCCAUUUAUUUGCAAUUUAUUGACACAAGUAAAAACUGAGUUAAAAUAAAAAUUAAAAAAAAAAACAAAUGAAAAAAAACAAAUGACAAAGCCUUACGGAUUUUACACCAAAAAAUUACCCCACGAUAAAUACAACUCAAGCCAAGGCUUCACUAGACAUUCAACCUCAACCCAUUUGUCUCAAUGAGAAUCAAUGUCACAGUCAGAAGCUGUAACUAUGCCCACAGACAAUUCAAGCAUUUCAUAUUGCACAAGAAAAAAACUAACAGAACUUGCAGCAAAGGAACUUUAAAUAGAAAUGUCAUAUCCCACACUAAAAAAGGGCACGAAGCACGCCAGAAUCUCACUCAAUGCUAGCUGUCACUUCAGGCAGGUAGGUAGUGUAAGUCCAUGGCACACAAAAGCCAGUACAACAUAGACAAUCACUAGGAGGAGGACAAUCAAAGCAAUCCUGAAAUAAGCAAACAAUCAGUCAAUCAGCAACAGAAGAAUAGAUCUUAACAUCUCUUCUUUCUGUUGAAUAAUGGUACACUAUUUUGUAUUUAAGAAAACUGUUUCAGACAACAUACGUAAGCUUGACGUUUCUCCACCAUACUGUGUUUCUGAAACGACGAGCUUGCUUUCUGAAACGGAAGGUGUUCCCUUGCAUAUUAGCAGUUUUAUCAACCAGCAAUUCCAAACGAUCUCCUCUCUCUAAAACUUUGUCAAUAUUCUCAAUCAUGACAUUUCGCACCUACAAGGAAUUUGGGGGGAGGGGGGAGUGGGGAGAACCCAGACAAUAUGCAGUCAACUGUAAACUUGUGAACAUCAAAUAUAGAGGAAGGCCAUAAGAUUGAACUCUAAAGUCUGAAGGCAAAGUGGAGAUUAAUAAAUCAUGAGCACAUCCAUUAUACAAAGAGGUGCAUAACCAAACUUAUCAUUCAGUGUCAGAGUGAGAUUUUACUCCAUGAAUCUUCAAUUUUAACUAAUCAAAAUCCUUUGACAAAGCAAUGAAAGGGCAAAAUAGACUGGGACCACAUGUCAAUUUGCUUAAUGCAACUCAUGGAUGGAAACACAUGACAUACAAUAUUUGAAUUCAUAGUUUGUGCAAAGAAUCUAAACUUACCUGACUCAUUUCACCUUUUAGUCUAUUUAUCCUGUCAGCAUUUGGAUCAUUUGAGUAAUACUCCAUUUGCUGGCUCAAAACCCUUGAAAAUUCAUCAUUCAUGGCAUAAGCCUGGGCUGAAUGAAUAGCACAGCCAUAAGUCCUCACAAAUCUCUGAUGAAUGUCUUCCAGAAAUGCAAAAGGAAUUCUUCCUGCAUAAAGCAUUAUGGAUCAACAAAAGUUUAUGCAAGAUUUCCUCACAAAAGGUUUCACACAAAAUAUUCAUCCGUUAUUCUUAUUGCUAAAUAUCCUACAACUUAGAGUUUUGCAGAAAAAUGUGGAACAUUGACUUAAUUGGCUAUAAAAUGAUGUCAAUUUUAAUGGCUUUAAGACAAUUUAAUAGGUUCCUGUAAAUAGGCUUGAACUUUUGCACAUAAAAGAGAAACAAACACACAUGUAAACAUGCAGAGAAGGUGACAGAGAGAUUAAGAGUUAGUUUUUUUAUGCAUAAAACCCAACAUUAAUGACCAUGCAGCUAACUAAGGACGAAAACAAUUAAUACUGUUUCACAUAUGAUGCAAGAUGAUAGAACCACUUUACAAGACCAGGUAGCGACUGAAUCAACUACACUUCAAUCCCAAACUAAGUGUGAAAAGAAUUCAAUUACUUAAGCUUCCAUUUUUUUACAGCAAAAGAUUCAUCCAGAAACUACAUCCCCACUCCUGAAAACAAUCACCGAGUCAUCCCAAUGUACCCCCAAACCCCACCCCACCUCCAACAGCAGUUUUUCAGAAUAAUUUGGAGCAACUCUUAAUCUAAAUUAAAGGAAUAAGAUCUCUCCAAUACACUGUGUUUUGAAAAUUAGAAACAUGCAGAGUUUAAAAAAGCACCAUUCUUGGCCAAUUAAGAUAAUGAAUGAGGUAAUUUAAUACAGAGCAUAUGUUCCACCCUUCCAAAUAAAAAUAAAUUGCAAAACUUAACUUGAAAUCCUAAAACUACCUAACAACUGCACAUGAGAAUCACUCAUUCACUAAUUCAAAAUGCAGAAUACUUGUAAAGAAACACUCCUUGGAGACCUGGCGCAUUCAAAUUCUGCCCUGGUUAGGUGAAAUAUUUACCAAUGUCACCUUAAAACGGGGCAAAGUAAUAUGAUAUAGAUCUCUAUUAUGCACCACAGCGCAGAUGCUUAUUGGAUGACUAUACAUCCAUGAAACGUAAGCACACAAGAGGCAAGAAGAUAUCAUAAGAAAAUACCAAGAAAAUCCAAUAUAUAGAAUCAAUUUAAAUUAUAAGAAAAAAGAAACUCCAGUCCAGUUAAAUUGUGGGAAAUUACGCUCCAGUUAAAUAGAGGGAAAUUAAGUCUUACUCCUAAGCUACCAGUUCUCAUUCUCAAUCUCAAACACAAAAUUAGCAUCAAACAAAAGCGUUGUAAAAUUAGUAACAAAAUGAGAAUUGGAGAACAAAAAGCAAUACUUCCAGCGGUAUCAUCAACCAUACGGAGAACAGUGAGACCAUUGGUGCACUUGACGUGAAAUAUAUAACGAUCUUGAGAAUAAGAGACGUGGCUGUCAUUAUUGCCUGGUAUCUUCUCCAAUAUCUGCCUUGCAAUGGCGCUAGCGUUGGUCGCCGUCGCAGUAAACUCCGCCAGAACCACCGAUCCCCUCGCUACCAGCGCGUAAAGGAUCGCCAUAUCCUCUUUCUCGCUCUCAAAAUUAGGGAUCGAUCAAUCAGUUGAACGGUGCUUUGAUCGAUCAACUUCAAUUAUAAAAGGCUCUCUCUUCUUGAUAAAACCUAAUUAAAAGGUAAACAAAAUGUAAAAACUCUCUCUCUCUCUCUCUCU